Molecule: ribosomal RNA, 556 nt
Filed under: uncultured Burkholderia sp.
Lineage: Bacteria; Pseudomonadati; Pseudomonadota; Betaproteobacteria; Burkholderiales; Burkholderiaceae
Description: bacterial SSU rRNA
Rfam family: Bacterial small subunit ribosomal RNA
Source: RNAcentral
CGCGGGCGCAGCCUGAUCCAGCAUGCCGCGUGUGUGAAGAAGGCCUUCGGGUUGUAAAGCACUUUUGUCCGGAAAGAAAACCUCCUGGUUAAUACCCGGGGGGGAUGACGGUACCGGAAGAAUAAGCACCGGCUAACUACGUGCCAGCAGCCGCGGUAAUACGUAGGGUGCAAGCGUUAAUCGGAAUUACUGGGCGUAAAGCGUGCGCAGGCGGUUUUGUAAGACAGAUGUGAAAUCCCCGGGCUCAACCUGGGAACUGCAUUUGUGACUGGCAGGCUAGAGUAUGGCAGAGGGGGGUAGAAUUCCACGUGUAGCAGUGAAAUGCGUAGAGAUGUGGAGGAAUACCGAUGGCGAAGGCAGCCCCCUGGGACAAUCACUGACGCUCAUGCACGAAAGCGUGGGGAGCAAACAGGAUUAGAUACCCUGGUAGUCCACGCCCUAAACGAUGUCAACUAGUUGUUGGGGAUUCAUUUCCUUCAGUAACGUAGCUAACGCGUGAAGUUGACCGCCUGGGGAGUACGGUCGCAAGAUUAAACCUCAAAGGAAUUUUGACGGA